Molecule: ribosomal RNA, 253 nt
Filed under: uncultured bacterium
Lineage: Bacteria
Description: partial 16S ribosomal RNA
Rfam family: Bacterial small subunit ribosomal RNA
Source: RNAcentral
UACAGAGGGUGCAAGCGUUAAUCGGAAUUACUGGGCGUAAAGCGUGCGUAGUCGGUUAUCUAAGUCGGGUGUGAAAUCCCCGGGCUCAACCUGGGAAUUGCAUUCGAUACUGGAUAGCUAGAGUUCGGCAGAGGGAAGCGGAAUUUCCGGUGUAGCGGUGAAAUGCGUAGAUAUCGGAAAGACCACCAAUGGCGAAGGCACUCUACUGGGCCAUUACUGACACUGAGAGACGAAAGCUAGGGGAGCAAAUGGG